This 642-nucleotide ribosomal RNA is filed under the name uncultured bacterium. RNAcentral describes it as "partial 16S ribosomal RNA". It matches the Rfam family "Bacterial small subunit ribosomal RNA", at positions 66 to 720 of the family's 1533-position model. The record is from RNAcentral.
ACGGAACUAUGGGAGCUUGCUCCUGUAGUUUAGUGGCGAACGGGUGAGUAACGCGUGAGUAACCUGCCUUUCGGAGGGGGACAACAGCUGGAAACGGCUGCUAAUACCGCAUAAUGUAUAACCAAGGCAUCUUGGAUAUACCAAAGAUUUAUCGCCGAAAGAUGGACUCGCGUCUGAUUAGCUAGUUGGUAGGGUAAUGGCCUACCAAGGCUUCGAUCAGUAGCCGGGUUGAGAGACUGACCGGCCACAUUGGGACUGAGAUACGGCCCAGACUCCUACGGGAGGCAGCAGUGGGGAAUAUUGGGCAAUGGGCGCAAGCCUGACCCAGCAACGCCGCGUGAAGGAAGAAGGCUUUCGGGUUGUAAACUUCUUUGACGAGGGAUGAAAAAAAUGACAGUACCUCGAAAACAAGCUCCGGCUAACUACGUGCCAGCAGCCGCGGUAAUACGUAGGGAGCAAGCGUUGUCCGGAUUUACUGGGUGUAAAGGGCGCGUAGGCGGGACUGCAAGUCAGAUGUGAAAUCUAGGGGCUUAACCCCUAAACUGCAUUUGAAACUGUGGUUCUUGAGUAUCGGAGAGGCAGGCGGAAUUCCUAGUGUAGCGGUGAAAUGCGUAGAUAUUAGGAGGAACACCAGUGGCGAAG